RNAcentral lists this ribosomal RNA (586 nucleotides) under uncultured bacterium. RNAcentral's name for it is "partial 16S ribosomal RNA". It matches the Rfam family "Bacterial small subunit ribosomal RNA", at positions 355 to 1375 of the family's 1533-position model. The record is from RNAcentral.
UGGGGAAUUUUGGACAAUGGGCGAAAGCCUGAUCCAGCAAUGCCGCGUGUGUGAAGAAGGCCUUCGGGUUGUAAAGCACUUUUGUCCGGAAAGAAAUCCUUGGCUCUAAUACAGUCGGGGGAUGACGGUACCGGAAGAAUAAGCACCGGCUAACUACGUGCCAGCAGCCGCGGUAAUACGUAGGGUGCAAGCGUUAAUCGGAAUUACUGGGCGUAAAGCGUGCGCAGGCGGUUUGCUAAGACCGAUGUGAAAUCCCCGGGCUCAACCUGGGAACUGCAUUGGUGACUGGCAGGCUAGAGUAUGGCAGAGGGGGGUAGAAUUCCACGUGUAGCAGUGAAAUGCGUAGAGAUGUGGAGGAAUACCGAUGGCGAAGGCAGCCCCCUGGGCCAAUACUGACGCUCAUGCACGAAGGCGUGGGGAGCAAACAGGAUUAGAUACCCUGGUAGUCCACGCCCUAAAACGAUGUCAACUAGUUGUUGGGGAUUCAUUUCCUUAGUAACGUAGCUAACGCGUGAAGUUGACCGCCUGGGGAGUACGGUCGCAAGAUUAAAACUUAAAUGAAUUGACGGGGUCAUAGCUGUUUCCU